Molecule: ribosomal RNA, 756 nt
Filed under: bacterium EJ10-40
Lineage: Bacteria
Description: bacterial SSU rRNA
Rfam family: Bacterial small subunit ribosomal RNA
Source: RNAcentral
UUACACAUNGCAAGUCGAACGAUGAUGCCCACUUGUGGGUGGAUUAGUGGCGAACGGGUGAGUAACACGUGAGUAACCUGCCCUUAACUCUGGGAUAAGCCUGGGAAACUGGGUCUAAUACCGGAUAUGACUCCUCAUCGCAUGGUGGGGGGUGGAAAGCUUUUUGUGGUUUUGGAUGGACUCGCGGCCUAUCAGCUUGUUGGUGAGGUAAUGGCUCACCAAGGCGACGACGGGUAGCCGGCCUGAGAGGGUGACCGGCCACACUGGGACUGAGACACGGCCCAGACUCCUACGGGAGGCAGCAGUGGGGAAUAUUGCACAAUGGGCGAAAGCCUGAUGCAGCGACGCCGCGUGAGGGAUGACGGCCUUCGGGUUGUAAACCUCUUUCAGUAGGGAAGAAGCGAAAGUGACGGUACCUGCAGAAGAAGCGCCGGCUAACUACGUGCCAGCAGCCGCGGUAAUACGUAGGGCGCAAGCGUUAUCCGGAAUUAUUGGGCGUAAAGAGCUCGUAGGCGGUUUGUCGCGUCUGCCGUGAAAGUCCGGGGCUCAACUCCGGAUCUGCGGUGGGUACGGGCAGACUAGAGUGAUGUAGGGGAGACUGGAAUUCCUGGUGUAGCGGUGAAAUGCGCAGAUAUCAGGAGGAACNNCGAUGGCGAAGGCAGGUCUCUGGGCAUUAACUGACGCUGAGGAGCGAAAGCAUGGGGAGCGAACAGGAUUAGAUACCCCUGGGUAGUCCAUGCCGUAAACGUUGGGCAC